ACUACUUUUUUGGUGGAUUUGGCCAUGUUAAUUUCUGUCAGGAAAUGCUGAGAUGGCACGAGGGCAUGCCUGCAGUAUUGUGACCAGGUUAAGGAGACACUUUUAAAAGUGUGUUUACACUGGAAGUUACAUUUUUCACUUUGUAGCUUUCAACAAUGAACUUUUACCAGAUGGGAGGCUAAGACUAAUGGACAACACCUUGCCUAAAGAGUUUGUGGCUCAGAUGAUAUUUGAGAAGUAGCUAAGAAUC
Molecule: long non-coding RNA, 250 nt
Organism: Lacerta agilis (Sand lizard)
Lineage: Eukaryota; Metazoa; Chordata; Lepidosauria; Squamata; Lacertidae
Exons: 3
Source: RefSeq, a predicted model, not a curated record